CCUACGGGUGGCAGCAGUGGGGAAUAUUGGGCAAUGGGCGCAAGCCUGACCCAGCAACGCCGCGUGAAGGAAGAAGGCUUUCGGGUUGUAAACUUCUUUUCUCAGGGACGAAGCAAGUGACGGUACCUGACGAAUAAGCCACGGCUAACUACGUGCCAGCAGCCGCGGUCAUACGUAGGUGGCAAGCGUUAUCCGGAUUUACUGGGUGUAAAGGGCGUGUAGGCGGGACUGCAAGUCAGAUGUGAAAACCAUGGGCUCAACCUAUGGCCUGCAUUUGAAACUGUAGUUCUUGAGUACUGGAGAGGCAGACGGAAUUCCUAGUGUAGCGGUGAAAUGCGUAGAUAUUAGGAGGAACACCAGUGGCGAAGGCAGCCGCCUGGCCUGUUGCUGACGCUGAGGCACGAAAGCGUGGGGAGCAAAUAGGAUUAGAUACCCGGGUAGUC
RNAcentral lists this ribosomal RNA (443 nucleotides) under uncultured bacterium. RNAcentral's name for it is "partial 16S ribosomal RNA". It matches the Rfam family "Bacterial small subunit ribosomal RNA", at positions 338 to 795 of the family's 1533-position model. The record is from RNAcentral.